This 303-nucleotide unclassified non-coding RNA is filed under the name uncultured Sordariales. RNAcentral's name for it is "sequence contains ITS1". The stretch from base 1 to 105 matches the Rfam family "5.8S ribosomal RNA", at positions 50 to 154 of the family's 154-position model. Lineage: Eukaryota; Fungi; Ascomycota; Sordariomycetes; Sordariales. The record is from RNAcentral.
GAAAUGCGAUAAGUAAUGUGAAUUGCAGAAUUCAGUGAAUCAUCGAAUCUUUGAACGCACAUUGCGCCCGCCAGUAUUCUGGCGGGCAUGCCUGUUCGAGCGUCAUUUCAACCAUCAAGCCCUAGGCUUGUGUUGGGGCCCUGCGGCUGUCCGCAGCCCCCCUAAAUACAGUGGCGGGCUCGCUAUCACACCGAGUGCAGUAGAUUUCUUUUCUCGCUCAGGGCGUGUGGCGGGUGCUAGCCGUAAAACCCCCUCAUUCAUAAGGUUGACCUCGGAUCAGGUAGGAAUACCCGCUGAACUUAA